RNAcentral lists this long non-coding RNA (1241 nucleotides) under Oreochromis niloticus (Nile tilapia). RNAcentral describes it as "lncRNA (ENSONIG00000042392.1)". The record is from RNAcentral. Lineage: Eukaryota; Metazoa; Chordata; Actinopteri; Cichliformes; Cichlidae.
GCUCUUAUUCCUCUUGAGAAUAUUCUCCCAAUUAGCAUUUUCUUUGAUCAACUUUUAGAUAUUUGUUUGAUAUUUGCUUCUCUCUCUGUCUUUCAUAGAUCACAACCAUUUAAACAAUGCAGCUUUAUCUCCUCUGGGUCCAGCCAUGGCUUUGUCUCACCCUCACAACAACCUGGGAAUUGGCUUCAACAAGUACGCCUCACUCAAGGCUGUGGACACAACUCCAAGAGACUACUACAAGAGCUACCCAAUGGUAGACUACACCCACCGCCAGUCCCCUCCCACCUUCCAGCCUAUCAACUUCCACCCCAAGGACAAGCCCUUCCUCCCACCACCAGAUGUCCAUGCACCUUUAGCGAUUACCAUCAACGCCUCCCAGAUCCCCAAACCUAAGAUCUCCAAGACCAACACUCACCCACUCACCUCCAGCUCAGCCUUCAAAGCUUGGGACCCAAGUAAGAGCCACAUUCAGCACCCGGCAGCCUCCCACAUGGGCCUUGGUGGGCAGCAGCAUCACCCUAUCCAACAGCAGCAGCACCAGACACUGCACCAACAGAACAGCCGGCGCCAGGCCUACUCCAACAAGAGGCAGUUCAGCAUUGAAACGCUGCCCGAGCUCUUCUCGCAGCCGCUGGGCUACGGUCAUUCGCCGCAUAUGCACCCCAAGCACAAGGGACUGGCCACUAACAGCAAAACAGAGGUCACUGUGUGAACAUGGGGCAGGAUUGAUGAACAGACAGAAGACAAAAAUGGAGCAGUAGAGGGGAAACGUUCUAAUAUCUUUUAUAUCCUCAGUUAUAAUGGUGUGCUGGAGCAAGCAAAUAUCGUAUCUGGAAUUUUUUUAACUCUGCAUUUUCCUUGUCAUUGUUACCAAGAAUAACAAUAAUGUGAGUGAUAUUUGUGUACUUUUACGACCACUGGAGCAAAACAGAUAAGUUGCAGAUAAGCUGUGAAGGUGGUGGAUUAGUGGAUUAUUUGCUGUGACUCUUUGAACCCAGCAGCGCCUCUAAAUAAUUGAGUGGCAGUUGGCACAGCUCUCUCCUCUCAAGCCCCUUGUACCUCGGUGACAUUUGCUCAGGUGCGGAGUGCCCUUCCAUUAUGUACAAAUGUCCAAAUUCUACUCAUACAUGCUAUUUACCCCUCAAACUAGCCCAGACUCUGACACUGUCAGGAGAGGAGGGUAGACGAGUGUGUCCUCCAAGAUUCUAGCUUCUCAUCAGUAGACACAAUGCCAUUGUGUU